CCUACGGGAGGCAGCAGUGAGGAAUAUUGGUCAAUGGGCGCGAGCCUGAAUCAGCCAAGUCGCGUGAGGGCUGACGGCCCUACGGGUUGUAAACCUCUUUUGCCGGGGAGCAACGGGCGCCACGUGUGGCGCCACUGAGAGUACCCGUAGAAAAAGCAUCGGCUAACUCGGUGCCAGCAGCCGCGGUAAUACGGAGGAUGCGAGGGUUAUCCGGUUUUUUUGGGUUUAAAGGGUGCGAAGGGGGAUGGUUAAGUCAGUGGUAAAAUUGGGGGGCUCAACCCAUUACCGCAAUUGACACUGGCGCUCUUGAGUGGAAGUGAAGUAUGCGGAAUGCGUGGUGUAGCGGUGAAAUGCAUAGAUAUCACGCAGAACCCCGAUUGCGAAGGCAGCAUGCCGGAUUCCGACUGACGCUGAAGCACGAAAGCGUGGGGAUCGAACAGGAUUAGAUACCCCUGUAGUC
Molecule: ribosomal RNA, 460 nt
Filed under: uncultured bacterium
Lineage: Bacteria
Description: partial 16S ribosomal RNA
Rfam family: Bacterial small subunit ribosomal RNA
Source: RNAcentral